UACGGGGGGGCAAGCGUUGUUCGGAAUUACUGGCGUAAAGGCUCGUAGGCGGCCAACUAAGUCAGACGUGAAAUCCCUCGGCUUAACCGGGGAACUGCGUCUGAUACUGGAUGGCUUGAGGUUGGGAGAGGGAUGCGGAAUUCCAGGUGUAGCGGUGAAAUGCGUAGAUAUCUGGAGGAACACCCGUGGCGAAAGCGGCUCUCUGGAACGGUACUGACGCUGAGACGCGAAAGCGUGGGAGCGAACAGG
This 249-nucleotide ribosomal RNA is filed under the name uncultured bacterium. RNAcentral's name for it is "partial 16S ribosomal RNA". It matches the Rfam family "Bacterial small subunit ribosomal RNA", at positions 524 to 776 of the family's 1533-position model. The record is from RNAcentral.